CGGGGCGUGGCGUAGCCUGGUAGCGCGCUUGGUUCGGGACCAAGAGGUCCCCAGUUCAAAUCUGGGCGCCCCGACCA
RNAcentral lists this transfer RNA (77 nucleotides) under Acidobacteriota bacterium. Its description in RNAcentral is "Acidobacteria bacterium (hot springs metagenome) tRNA-Pro". It matches the Rfam family "tRNA". From Rfam's summary of the family: Transfer RNA (tRNA) molecules are approximately 80 nucleotides in length. Their secondary structure includes four short double-helical elements and three loops (D, anti-codon, and T loops). The record is from RNAcentral. RNAcentral also lists the same sequence under 2 other names. Lineage: Bacteria; Pseudomonadati; Acidobacteriota.